This 108-nucleotide small nucleolar RNA is filed under the name Triticum aestivum (bread wheat). RNAcentral describes it as "Small nucleolar RNA snoR100". It matches the Rfam family "Small nucleolar RNA snoR100". Lineage: Eukaryota; Viridiplantae; Streptophyta; Magnoliopsida; Poales; Poaceae. RNAcentral also lists the same sequence under 1 other name. The record is from Rfam by way of RNAcentral.
AGAGGAAGGAAGUAUGGUAAUGUGCAUGGAGAUUGACUUGGUCUGCAUGUCUGCUCGCCCUGACGCCUUUGGGCUUUGAUCUCGCGGGCCUGGAUUUGACCCAUACUC